This 848-nucleotide long non-coding RNA is filed under the name Equus caballus (horse). RNAcentral describes it as "lncRNA (ENSECAG00000048663.1)". The record is from RNAcentral. Lineage: Eukaryota; Metazoa; Chordata; Mammalia; Perissodactyla; Equidae.
CUCUCCUGAAUCUAUAUUGAAGAUAUUGACUGAAGUAGAUUUAUUUCAGGAGUGAAAAAAUAAGCAUAAAUUCACCCGGAGCCAGGCUUCGGAGGGCUGCAGCCCCUGCCGCUCCAAGGGUACACAUGAUUACACAGAUAUCUGGAGGUGCCUCCAGAUCUGAGGGCACGUGCCUGCUAUGCGCAUACUCCUUCUUCCUCACCAUGCGUGGCGGACUGAAUUAUGGCCCCCACAGACAUCCCCAGCCUAAUCUCAGGAACCUGUGAAGAAGGGAGGCUCAGACAGGUGAAGUCACGUGCCCAAGGUCACACAGCUGCUAAGGGGGCAAGCUGGGAUUCAGACACUGUUCUCGCUAAAUCUGAACUCUUUUCUUAAAAAAAAAUGAACAGUAACAACUAACCCUUAUACGGUCAUCACUAUGUGCUGCUCUUACUCAUUGAACCUGACAGCUCUACAACAUGGAGGAAGGCAAUUCUGGGGGCUGGAGCUGGGCCCCAGCUGACAGCCAGGUGGGACAGGGGGCCCUCAGUCCUACAAAUUCAAGGAUCUGCAUUCUGCCAACAACUCGAAUCAGCCAGGAAAAUGGAUUCUCUCCUGGAACCUACUGGACUUCCGUACUACAGAACUGUAAGAGAAUAAAUUUGCAUUGUUUUAAGCCUCAGUUUGUCAUAAUUCAUUACGGCAGAAAAGAAAAUGAAUACACUCCUCAGGCUCCCUUUCCUUUGGGAAUGAGGGACUGUGCUCAUCUCAGCCGUGAGUCGCUCCACACGCUCUGGACUCCCAGCCCUGAUCUCCUGAAUCAAUGUGCAAGAUCAUUUCCCACUGUCUCCAGCUGGAACGUGGACAGG